UGGCUCUCGCAUCGAUGAAGAACGCAGCGAAAUGCGAUAAGUAAUGUGAAUUGCAGAAUUCAGUGAAUCAUCGAAUCUUUGAACGCACCUUGCGCUCCUUGGUAUUCCGAGGAGCAUGCCUGUUUGAGUGUCAUGGUAUUCUCAAUUCAUUCCGGAAUUUUGAAAAGAAAUCCGGGCUGAGAUUGGACAUGGAGGUUUUUUGUUGGUUACAACUGUCAAUCAACUCCUCUGAAAUGUAUUAGCAAGAAUGAAGCGCUGUCUUUGGUGUGAUAAUUAUCUGCACUGUGGAAUGGCGUAAGAAAUUCUGGCUUCCAAUGGUCUAUUUGCUUAGACAUUUUUAUGACAUCUGACCUCAAAUCAGGUAGGAUUACCCGCUGA
Molecule: unclassified non-coding RNA, 378 nt
Filed under: uncultured fungus
Lineage: Eukaryota; Fungi
Description: partial contains 5.8S ribosomal RNA and internal transcribed spacer 2
Rfam family: 5.8S ribosomal RNA (bases 1-133)
Source: RNAcentral